AACGCAUCUUGCGCUCCUUGGUAUUCCGAGGAGCAUGCCUGUUUGAGUGUCAUUAAAUUCUGUCAAAACAUGCACUUGAGUGUGUGUUUUGGAUUGUGGGAGUGUCUGCUGGCUUUAAAUGAGUCAGCUCUCCUGAAAGACAUUAGCUUUGGAGGGAUGUGCCAAGUCACUUCUGCCUUUCCAUUGGUGUGAUAGAUGAAUAAACUUAUCUACGCCAGGAAAGCAGGUUUCAGGUGAUGCACUGUGAUCUCUCUGCUCUCUAAUUGACAUUUGUCUGAUAACUUGACCUCAAAUCAGGUAGGACUACCCGCUGAACUUAA
This 320-nucleotide unclassified non-coding RNA is filed under the name uncultured Amanita. RNAcentral's name for it is "sequence contains ITS2". The stretch from base 1 to 52 matches the Rfam family "5.8S ribosomal RNA", at positions 103 to 154 of the family's 154-position model. Lineage: Eukaryota; Fungi; Basidiomycota; Agaricomycetes; Agaricales; Amanitaceae. The record is from RNAcentral.